Molecule: ribosomal RNA, 301 nt
Filed under: uncultured bacterium
Lineage: Bacteria
Description: partial 16S ribosomal RNA
Rfam family: Bacterial small subunit ribosomal RNA
Source: RNAcentral
CAGCCGCCACGGGAAUACAGAGGGUGCAAGCGUUAAUCGGAAUUACUGGGCGUAAAGCGCGCGUAGGUGGUUUGUUAAGUUGGAUGUGAAAUCCCCGGGCUCAACCUGGGAACUGCAUCCAAAACUGGCAAGCUAGAGUAUGGUAGAGGGUGGUGGAAUUUCCUGUGUAGCGGUGAAAUGCGUAGAUAUAGGAAGGAACACCAGUGGCGAAGGCGACCACCUGGACUGAUACUGACACUGAGGUGCGAAAGCGUGGGGAGCAAACAGGAUUAGAUACCCGUGUAGUCCCUGUCUCUUAUAA